Molecule: ribosomal RNA, 508 nt
Filed under: uncultured bacterium
Lineage: Bacteria
Description: bacterial SSU rRNA
Rfam family: Bacterial small subunit ribosomal RNA
Source: RNAcentral
AGUUUGAUCAUGGCUCAGAGUGAACGCUGGCGGCAGGCCUAAUACAUGCAAGUCGAACGGCAGCACAGCAGAGCUUGCUCUGUGGGUGGCGAGUGGCGGACGGGUGAGGAAUACGUGGGAAUCUGCCCAGUCGUGGGGGAUAACGUAGGGAAACUUACGCUAAUACCGCAUGCGCCCUUCGGGGGGAAAGCCGGGGACCUUCGGGCCUGGCGCGAUUGGAUGAGCCCACGUCGGAUUAGCUAGUUGGCGGGUAAAGGCCCACCAAGGCGACGAUCCGUAGCUGGUCUGAGAGGAUGAUCAGCCACACUGGAACUGAGACACGGUCCAGACUCCUACGGGAGGCAGCAGUAGGGAAUAUUGGACAAUGGGCGCAAGCCUGAUCCAGCCAUGCCGCGUGAGUGAAGAAGGCCCUCGGGUUGUAAAGCUCUUUUGUCCGGAAAGAAAAGCGCCGGGUUAAUACCCUGGUGUCCUGACGGUACCGGAAGAAUAAGCACCGGCUAACUUCGUG